This 252-nucleotide ribosomal RNA is filed under the name uncultured bacterium. Its description in RNAcentral is "partial 16S ribosomal RNA". It matches the Rfam family "Bacterial small subunit ribosomal RNA", at positions 1249 to 1500 of the family's 1533-position model. The record is from RNAcentral.
GCGAGCGUGUGAGCGUAAGCAAAUCCCAAAAAUAACGUCUCAGUUCGGAUUGCAGUCUGCAACUCGGCUGCAUGAAGCUGGAAUCGCUAGUAAUCGCGGAUCAGAAUGCCGCGGUGAAUACGUUCCCGGGUCUUGUACACACCGCCCGUCACACCAUGGGAGUCGGUAACACCCGAAGCCAGUAGCCUAACCGCAAGGGGGGCGCUGUCGAAGGUGGGAUUGAUGACUGGGGUGAAGUCGUAACAAGGUACC